GAUGAACGCUGGCGGCGUGCCUAAUACAUGCAAGUCGAGCGAACGGACGAGAAGCUUGCUUCUCUGAUGUUAGCGGCGGACGGGUGAGUAACACGUGGAUAACCUACCUAUAAGACUGGGAUAACUUCGGGAAACCUUAGCUAAUACCGGAUAAUAUUUUGAACCGCAUGGUUCAAAAGUGAAAGACGGUCUUGCUGUCACUUAUAGAUGGAUCCGCGCUGCAUUAGCUAGUUGGUAAGGUAACGGCUUACCAAGGCAACGAUGCAUAGCCGACCUGAGAGGAUGAUCGGCCACACUGGAACUGAGACACGGUCCAGACUCCUACGGGAGGCAGCAGUAGGGAAUAUUCCGCAAUGGGCGAAAGCCUGACGGAGCAACGCCGCGUGAGUGAUGAAGGUCUUCGGAUCGUAAAACUCUGUUAUUAGGGAAGAACAUAUGUGUAAGUAAAUGUGCACAUCUUGACGGUACCUAAUCAGAAAGCCCCGGCUAACUACGUG
Molecule: ribosomal RNA, 497 nt
Filed under: uncultured bacterium
Lineage: Bacteria
Description: partial 16S ribosomal RNA
Rfam family: Bacterial small subunit ribosomal RNA
Source: RNAcentral